RNAcentral lists this ribosomal RNA (723 nucleotides) under uncultured Gammaproteobacteria bacterium. RNAcentral describes it as "bacterial SSU rRNA". It matches the Rfam family "Bacterial small subunit ribosomal RNA", at positions 73 to 793 of the family's 1533-position model. Lineage: Bacteria; Pseudomonadati; Pseudomonadota; Gammaproteobacteria. The record is from RNAcentral.
AUCUUGCUUAUUGGGUGACGAGCGGCGGACGGGUGAGUAACGCGUAGGAAUCUACCUAAUGGUGGGGGAUGGCCCAGGGAAACUUGGAUUAAUACCGCAUAAGUCCUAAGGGAGAAAGCGGGGGAUCUUCGGACCUCGUGCCAUUAGAUGAGCCUGCGUAAGAUUAGCUAGUUGGUGAGGUAAGAGCUCACCAAGGCGACGAUCUUUAGCUGGUCUGAGAGGAUGAUCAGCCACACUGGGACUGAGACACGGCCCAGACUCCUACGGGAGGCAGCAGUGGGGAAUAUUGGACAAUGGGGGCAACCCUGAUCCAGCCAUGCCGCGUGUGUGAAGAAGGCCUUCGGGUUGUAAAGCACUUUCAGAUGUGAGGAAAGGUUACAGAUUAAUACUCUGUAGCUGUGACGUUAACAUCAGAAGAAGGACCGGCUAACUCCGUGCCAGCAGCCGCGGUAAUACGGAGGGUCCGAGCGUUAAUCGGAAUUACUGGGCGUAAAGCGCGCGUAGGUGGUUUCGUCAGUCAGAUGUGAAAGCCCAGGGCUCAACCUUGGAAUUGCACCUGAUACUGCGGGACUAGAGUACGAUAGAGGGGAGUGGAAUUUCCGGUGUAGCGGUGAAAUGCGUAGAUAUCGGAAGGAACACCAGUGGCGAAGGCGACUCCCUGGAUUGAUACUGACACUGAGGUGCGAAAGCGUGGGGAGCAAACAGGGUUAGAUACCCUGGUAG